This 74-nucleotide transfer RNA is filed under the name Alligator sinensis (Chinese alligator). It matches the Rfam family "tRNA". From Rfam's summary of the family: Transfer RNA (tRNA) molecules are approximately 80 nucleotides in length. Their secondary structure includes four short double-helical elements and three loops (D, anti-codon, and T loops). Further hydrogen bonds mediate the characteristic L-shaped molecular structure. tRNAs have two regions of fundamental functional importance: the anti-codon, which is responsible for specific mRNA codon recognition, and the 3' end, to which the tRNAs corresponding amino acid is attached (by aminoacyl-tRNA synthetases). tRNAs cope with the degeneracy of the genetic code in two manners: having more than one tRNA (with a specific anti-codon) for a particular amino acid; and 'wobble' base-pairing, i.e. permitting non-standard base-pairing at the 3rd anti-codon position. The record is from Rfam by way of RNAcentral. Lineage: Eukaryota; Metazoa; Chordata; Crocodylia; Alligatoridae.
GUCUCUGUGGCGCAAUUGGCUAGCGCGUUUGGUUGUUAACCGGAAAGUUGGUGAUUCCAGCCCACCCAGGGACA